UGGGCCAUUCAUCAUGUUGCUAAAAUUAGAUCUCUUUAUACCAUUCCUGUGAAAUAAAUGCACACAUACAUCACACAUGUUUUAAAGUGACUUGAUAAUUAAUAUUGUUACACUUGAGAAAAAUCCUGGCUCUCCAUGGAGAAGUCAUGUCAUGAGUCAGAAGAGUGCAGGCUGAGGCAUGCCCUCCACUGAAUGGCUUGUCUGCACUCUGAAAGCCAAGUGAACCAACCAUUCCAUCCGUAUGAAGAGCGUAAGUCCUAGAUUUGCGUCGUGAUGUCAUCUCAGGUGGGUGAGGCCCAGAGGGAGUCACUGUGGCUUUUCUGAAGUAGUACAUUUCAAAGAGUCCAUGGUGAUGACGGCUGAAAAUAUCCUAUCUACAAGAGACAGCUUUCAUUCUCCUUUGUCCAUACUGUCCUAAAUGUUGAUGGCGUGUAUGGUAUCUAGCACAGUGCCCGAUAUAGAGCAAGAAGUCAACAAACAUCUGCUGCCUUCCAUUCUCCAUCCCCUGGAGUCCAUCCACUUAGAUGAGUCUAGGAAGGUAGUGGCAGAAACCUUUUCCAGCACUCAGUGAUAUCAUCAUCGUCAUCAUUAUCAUCACAAUGCUUCUCUCUACCGGGCUGUCAGUUAAAAUUCUAGAGUGAACAGGAACACAUUCAUGGACAAAGUCCUCAAAGUAGUCAGAGUAGGCUAGGCUCUGCUGCCAUAGAAACAACCUCCAAUGCUCAGUGGCUUAAUACAAUAAAGGUUUACGUCUAGGUCCUAGGUCUGCCUAGCUCCAUAAAACAUGGUCUGACCACUACACGAUCAAGUUUUUCCUGAAAAAAUUCUCUGCUGUUACUAUUAGUUUUGUCUGAAAUCUGCCCUUGAGCCAAGUUGCUAUAUAGCACUAAGAAUUAUUUUUGCCUCAAUCUGUCAGAUGGUUCAUUUUUCCAUCCAACAAAUAUUUAUUGAAUCUACUCUCUGCCAGGUACUGCACCAGGGAAGAGGUGGUCAUCAACUAUGAAGGAAUCCAGACCUUUAAUCCUGUAGAGCUUCCAAGUAAGGAUAAUGGGUCAACUACAACCUUCUUCCUAGGAUAUGUCGACGUGCACGGCAUUAGGAAAAUCUGCUCUUUAAAUUAAAAUACAAACUCAUGAGGAUUUUCUUUAUCAUUUACCAAAAAUAUAUGCCUUAGAGAUUCUUUAAUUUCAUUCAUUCUGUCAGUGAAAUGAUAAAUGUUUGUUAGGUGCCUAUUAGGAGUCAGACACCAUACUAGCCAAUCUAAAAGAUAAAAUUGCAUUUAUAAAACCUUUGAUAAUCACAGUUAUUCCAGAUAUACUAGGGAACACCUAAUGUUAAUA
This 1340-nucleotide long non-coding RNA is filed under the name Homo sapiens (human). RNAcentral describes it as "long non-coding RNA NONHSAT173089.1". The record is from RNAcentral. Lineage: Eukaryota; Metazoa; Chordata; Mammalia; Primates; Hominidae.